ACCUGCCCUAUGAAUAAUUUAUUUUUAAAUGGCCGCGGUAUUUUGACCGUGCAAAGGUAGCAUAAUAAUUAGUUUCUUAAUUGGGAACUGGAAUGAAUGGUCGAACGAGAAAAAGACUGUCUCAAUUUAAUUUGAAUUAGAAUUUUAUUUUUAAGUAAGAAAGCUUAAAUAUACUUAAAAGACGAGAAGACCCUAUAGAGUUUUAUAUUGAUUAGUAUAAUUAAAAGUUAAAGUAUUAUAGAUUUAAUUAUAAUAAUUAAGUAUUUAAUUGGGGCGAUUAAAAAAUUUAAUGAACUUUUUUUAGAUUAAACCAUUGAUUUAUGAAUAAAUGAUCCAUAUUUUAUGAUUAAAAGAUU
The sequence is a ribosomal RNA, 356 nucleotides long. The stretch from base 1 to 168 matches the Rfam family "Archaeal large subunit ribosomal RNA", at positions 1949 to 2143 of the family's 2987-position model.